GAUGAACGCUGGCGGCGUGCCUAAUACAUGCAAGUCGAGCGAACAGACGAGGAGCUUGCUCCUCUGACGUUAGCGGCGGACGGGUGAGUAACACGUGGAUAACCUACCUAUAAGACUGGGAUAACUUCGGGAAACCGGAGCUAAUACCGGAUAAUAUAUUGAACCGCAUGGUUCAAUAGUGAAAGACGGUUUUGCUGUCACUUAUAGAUGGAUCCGCGCCGCAUUAGCUAGUUGGUAAGGUAACGGCUUACCAAGGCAACGAUGCGUAGCCGACCGGAGAGGGUGAUCGGCCACACGGGAACUGAGACACGGUCCAGACUCCUACGGGAGGCAGCAGUAGGGAAUCUUCCGCAAUGGGCGAAAGCCUGACGGAGCAACGCCGCGUGAGUGAUGAAGGUCUUCGGAUCGUAAAGCUCUGUUAUUAGGGAAGAACAAAUGUGUAAGUAACUGUGCACGUCUUGACGGUACCUAAUCAGAAAGCCACGGCUAACUACGUG
RNAcentral lists this ribosomal RNA (497 nucleotides) under uncultured bacterium. Its description in RNAcentral is "partial 16S ribosomal RNA". It matches the Rfam family "Bacterial small subunit ribosomal RNA", at positions 28 to 507 of the family's 1533-position model. The record is from RNAcentral.